RNAcentral lists this ribosomal RNA (3529 nucleotides) under Neurospora crassa OR74A. RNAcentral's name for it is "eukaryotic LSU rRNA". The stretch from base 312 to 3424 matches the Rfam family "Eukaryotic large subunit ribosomal RNA". The record is from RNAcentral. Lineage: Eukaryota; Fungi; Ascomycota; Sordariomycetes; Sordariales; Sordariaceae.
AAAACUUUUAAUAAUAGAUCUCUUAGUUUUAGUAUUAAUAAAGAAUAUAAUGAAAUAUAAUAAGUAAUAUAAAUUGUAGAAUUUAGUAAAUUAUCGAAUCUUUAAACGUAUAUUAUAUUUGCUAAUAUUUUGGCGAAUAUACUUAUUCGAACGUUAUUUUAAUUAUUAAAUUCUAUUUAUAUUAGGGAUCCGUAGCUAUUUGUAAUCCUUUAAAAUUAAUAGCGGGUUUAUUAAUUAUAUUAAAUAUAAUAAUUUUAUAUUAUUAUAGUUAUAUAGUAGGUUUUUAUUAUAAAACCCUUUAUUUUUAAAGUUGACUUCGGAUUAGGUAGGAAUACCCGCUAAAUUUAAAUAUAUUAAUAAGCGGAGGAAAAGAAAUUAAUAGGGAUUGCCCUAAUAAUAGCGAAUAAAGUAGUAAUAAUUUAAAUUUGAAAUUUAGCUUUGGUUUGAAUUAUAAUUUAUAGAGGAAGCUUUUAGUAAAGUACCUUCUAAAUCCUUUGGAACGGGGCGCUAUAGAGGGUGAAAGCUCUAUAUAAUUAGAUACCGAUUUAAUAUAAAGUUCCUUUAAUAAGUUAAAUAGUUUAGGAAUAUUAUUUAAAAUAGGAGGUAAAUUUCUUCUAAAGUUAAAUACCGGCUAGAGAUUAAUAGUAUAUAAGUAGAGUAAUUAAAAGAUAAAAAGUACUUUAAAAAGAGGGUUAAAUAGUAUAUAAAAUUAUUGAAAGGGAAGUGUUUGUAAUUAGAUUUGCGCUAUUCCAAUUAUUUAGUAUUUUUACUAGUAUAUUUAGGAUAGUUUAAGCUAGUAUUGGUUUUAGCGGGGGGAUAAAGGUUUGGGGAAUAUAGCUCCUUCGGGAGUAUUAUAGCCUUAGGCGUAAUAUUUUCGCUAGGAUUAAGGUUCGCGUAUUUAUAAGGAUGUUAAUAUAAUAGUUAUUAACGAUCCGUUUUAAAAUAUAGAUUAAGGAGUUAAGGUUUUAUGUAAGUAUUUGGGUGUAAAACCUAUAUAUAUAAUAAAAGUGAAUGUAGGUAAAAGUUUCGGUAUAUUAUUGACCGAUUUUAAUAUAUUUGGAUGGAUUUGAGUAAGAAUAUUAAAUUUUAGACUUAAAAGAUGGUAAAUUAUAUUUAGAUAGGGUGAAGUUAGAGGAAAUUCUAGUAGAGGUUUGUAGCGGUUCUGAUAUAUAAAUCGAUUAUUAAAUUUAAAUAUAGGGGCGAAAGAUUAAUUGAAUUAUUUAGUAGCUAAUUAUUACUAAAGUUUCCCUUAGGAUAGUAGUAUUAUUUUUUAGUUUUAUAAAGUAAAGCGAAUAAUUAGGGAUUUGGGGGCGCUUUUUAGCUUUUAUUUAUUCUUAAACUUUAAAUAUAUAAGAAACCCUUAUUAUUUAAUUGAACGUAGGUAUUCGAAUAUAUUAAUAUUAGUGGGCUAUUUUUAGUAAGUAGAAUUAGCGAUACGGAAUAAAUUGAAUAUAGGGUUAAAGUAUUAGAGUGGAUGUUUAUUAGAUAUUAUAAAAGGCGUUAGUAUAUUUUAAUAGUAGGACGGUAAUUAUAAAAGUCGGAAUUUGCUAAGGAUUGUAUAAUAAUUUACCUAUCGAAUAUAUUAACUUUGAAAAUAGAUAGUACUUAAGUGUUUUAUUUAUACCCUACCUUUAGGGUAGAAACGAUACUUUAAAGAAUAGGCGGCUAUAGAGGUUAGUAACGAAGUUUAGGGUGUAAACUUAGGUUGAAUAACCUUUAGUAUAGAUUUUAGUAGUAAUAGUAAAUAUUUUAAUAAGAAUUUAAAGGACCGAAGUAGGGAAAGGUUCUAUAUAAAUAGCGGUUAGAUAUAGGUUAAUUAAUUUUAAGCUAUAGGGAAAUUCCGUUUUAAAGGAGCACUUAUACCCUAUAUAGUAAAAGGGAAGCCGGUUAAUAUUCCGGUACUUAGAUGUAGGUUUUACGCAGCAACGCAAUUAAAUACGGAAACGACGGCGGGGGCCCUGGGUAGAAUUCUCUUUUCUUUUUAAUAGUCUAUUAUUUUAAAAAUAAUUUAUUUAGAAAUAGGGUUUAAUAAUUGGAAGAGUCCGAUAUUUCUGUCGGGUCCGGUAUAUUUUUAAUAUCCUUUAAAAAUUUGUAGGAGGGAAUAAUUUUUAUAUUAGGUUGUAUUUAUAAUUGUAGUAGGUCUUUAAGGUGAAUAGUUUUUAAUUAAUAGAAUAAUAUAAAUAAGGGAAGUUAAUAAAAUAGAUCUAUAACUUCGGGAAAAGGAUUAGCUUUAAGGGUUAGGUAUAUUGGGCUUUAGGUAGACGCCCUAGGAGUAGAUUACUAUUAGCUGGGUAAUUGGCUAGCGGUUUUUAGUAUCCGGGUAUAGAAGUUUUUAAUAGAUUUCAGUUAUCCAGUAUAUAUUUAAUAAUUAAUUUAGAAUUAGUACGGAUAGGGGGAAUUUGAUUAUUUAAUUAAAAUAUAGUAUUGCAAUGGCUAAAAAGUGGUAUUAAUAUAAUAUAAUUUUUAUUUAGUAUUCUAAAUAUUAAAGUAAAGAAAUUUAAUUAAGUGCGGGUAAAUAGCGGAAAUAAUUAUAAUUUUCUUAAGGUAGCUAAAUAUUUCGUUAUUUAAUUAGUAACGUAUAUAAAUAGAUUAAUGAGAUUCCUAUUAUUCCUAUUUAUUAUUUAGCGAAAUUAUAGUUAAGGGAAUGGGCUUGGUAGAAUUAGUGGGGAAAGAAGACCCUAUUAAGCUUAAUUUUAAUUUAAUAUUAUAAAAAGAUAUAGGAGGUGUAGAAUAGGUGGGAGCUUCGGUAUUAGUAAAAUAUUACUAUUUUUAUUAUUUUUUUAUUUAUUUAAUUAAGUGGGGCUAGAUUUUCGUUUAAUUUUUGGUUUUAAGGUCCUUUGCAGGCCGACCCGGGUUGAAGAUAUUAUUAGGUGGGGAAUUUAGCUGGGGCGGUAUAUUUAUUAAAUUAUAAUAUAAGUGUUUUAAGGGGGGCUUAUGGAGAAUAGAAAUCUCUAGUAGAAUAAAAGAGUAAAAGUCCUUUUAAUUUUAAUUUUUAGUAUAAAUAUAAAUUAUAAAAGUAUAGCUUAUCGAUCCUUUAAUCCCUCGAAAUUUAAAGUUAGAAGUGUUAGAAAAGUUACUAUAGGGAUAAUUGGCUUGUAGCGGUUAAAUAUUUAUAGCGAUGUUACUUUUUGAUCCUUUAAUAUCGGUUCUUCCUAUUAUAUUAAAGUAGAAUUCGGUAAGUGUUAAAUUAUUUACUUAUUAAUAGGGAACGUGAGUUAGGUUUAGAUUAUUGUGAGAUAGGUUAGUUUUACCCUAUUAAUAACCUUAUUAUAAUAGUAAUUAAGCUUAGUACGAGAGGAACCGUUUAUUUAAAUAAUUGGUUUUUGCGGUUGUCCGACCGGGUAGUACUAUAACGCUAUUAUUUGCUAAAUAAUAGUUAAACGCCUCUAAAUUAGAAUUUAUAUUAGAAUAUAAUAAUACUUCUAAUAUAUUAUAGACGUAUAAGAAUAGACUCCGGCUUUAUAUUUUAGUAGGCAAUUCUUUUAUUAGCUUUAAAGUAGCUAGUAGUAAUUUGUAUAUUAUAAUUUUA